RNAcentral lists this unclassified non-coding RNA (200 nucleotides) under soil metagenome. Its description in RNAcentral is "partial contains internal transcribed spacer 2 and large subunit ribosomal RNA". The record is from RNAcentral.
UCGAGCGUCAUUACAACCCUCAAGCUCUGCUUGGUAUUGGACCUUCGCCUUCCCGGCGGGUCUCAAAAUCAGUGGCGGUGUCAUCUGACUCUAAGCGUAGUAAAUUCUCUCGCUCUGGAGCUUCGGUUGAUUACUUGCCAUCGAACCCCAAAUUUUUAAAGGUUGACCUCGGAUCAGGUAGGGAUACCCGCUGAACUUAA